CAGUAGCCGCGGUAAUACGUAGGUGGCAAGCGUUGUCCGGAAUUAUUGGGCGUAAAGCGCGCGCAGGCGGAUAGGUCAGUCUGUCUUAAAAGUUCGGGGCUUAACCCCGUGAUGGGAUGGAAACUGCCAAUCUAGAGCAUCGGAGGGGAAAGUGGAAUUCCUAGUGUAGCGGUGAAAUGCGUAGAUAUUAGGAAGAACACCAGUGGCGAAGGCGACUUUCUGGACGAAAACUGACGCUGAGGCGCGAAAGCCAGGGGAGCGAACGGGAUUAGAUACCCGCGUAGUCCCUGUCUCUUAUACA
This 301-nucleotide ribosomal RNA is filed under the name uncultured bacterium. Its description in RNAcentral is "partial 16S ribosomal RNA". It matches the Rfam family "Bacterial small subunit ribosomal RNA", at positions 509 to 809 of the family's 1533-position model. The record is from RNAcentral.